AGGCAACUCUGAACCAGCCAAGCCGCGUGAAGGAAGACUGUCCUAUGGAUUGUAAACUUCUUUUGUGGCAGAAUAAACUACCGUACUUGUACGGUAUUGCAUGUAUGCCAUGAAUAAGCAUCGGCUAACUCCGUGCCAGCAGCCGCGGUAAUACGGAGGAUGCAGGCGUUAUCCGGAUUUAUUAGGUUUAAAGGGUGUUCAGGCUGCCUGGUAAGUCAGGGGUGAAAGUCGGUUGCUCAACGAUCGAAUUGCCUUUGAAAACUGUCAGGCUCGAAGUAUGGAUGCGGUAGGCGGAAAUGUGUAGUGUAGCGGUGAAAUGCAUAGAUAUUACAUAGAACACCAAUAGCGAAGGCAGCUUACCAGAUCAUAACUGACACUGAGGGACGAAAGCGUGGGGAGCGAACAGGAUUAGAUACCCUGGUAGUCCACGCCGUAAACGAUGAUCACUAGACAUUGGCGACAUACUGUCGGUGUCAAAGCGAAAGUAUUAAGUGAUCCACCUGGGGAGUACGCCGGCAACGGUGAAACUCAAAGGAAUUGACGGGGGCCCGCACAAGCGGUGGAGCAUGUGGUUUAAUUCGAUGAUACGCGAGGAACCUUACCUGGGCUUAAAUGCAGAACGACCUCCCGAGAAAUCGGGAUUUCUUCGGACGGACUGCAAGGUGCUGCAUGGUUGUCGUCAGCUCGUGCCGUGAGGUGUCGGGUUAAGUCCCAUAACGAGCGCAACCCCUACCGUUAGUUGCCAGCGGAUAAUGCCGGGGACUCUAACGAAACUGCCCGUGCAAGCGGAGAGGAAGGUGGGGAUGACGUCAAAUCAUCACGGCCCUUACGUCCAGGGCUACACACGUGCUACAAUGGCGCAUACAAAGGGCAGCUACCACGCGAGUGGAUGCUAAUCUCGAAAGUGCGUCUCAGUUCGGAUUGAAGUCUGCAACUCGACUUCAUGAAGCUGGAAUCGCUAGUAAUCGCGCAUCAGCCAUGGCGCGGUGAUACGUUCCCGGGCCUUGUACACACCGCCCGUCAAGCCAUGGAAGCUGGGGGUGCCUGAAGUCGGUGACCGCAAGGAGCCGCCUAGGGCAAA
This 1081-nucleotide ribosomal RNA is filed under the name uncultured organism. RNAcentral's name for it is "bacterial SSU rRNA". It matches the Rfam family "Bacterial small subunit ribosomal RNA", at positions 375 to 1466 of the family's 1533-position model. The record is from RNAcentral.